Molecule: long non-coding RNA, 656 nt
Filed under: Homo sapiens (human)
Lineage: Eukaryota; Metazoa; Chordata; Mammalia; Primates; Hominidae
Description: HSALNT0019767
Source: RNAcentral
CCACUGUGGCCUGGCUAGAAAGAGUGGAAAGGCAACUCCUGUUCCAGUUACUCCAUCAUGGCUUGAAGCAGAAAAGGAAUUUUCAGUUUGGAAAAUAUAAAUUACUUGAGAAGAUCCUCAAACUGCCAUGGUUAAUCUGCAUAUUUCAGAGAUAUUUUAGGCAUAUAAAUUAUUGUUUUUGUUUUAUACAUUUCUGUGUCCACUUACUAGGGAUUACAUUGUCUUCCCAUAUGCAUGUGGAAUCAGGUAUUCAUUCCAGCUUCUUAUCUUCCACCUUUCUUCCUUAUUAGAUUUUCUUGGGCUCUAUGUUAAUCCUCAUAUUUAGCUGCAAUAAAAGUUCCCUUCUGUAUUUGAAUAGCAUGUGAAUAUUAUUCUACAAGCCUUACAACCUUUGUUUUGUAAACUCCUUUGCUACUGAAGUGUACUGCCAUUUAGCACUCUACAUAUUUGUGAGCUCUUUCUGCAUACUAGGUUUGAUUGUCUUUAAGUUUUCACUUUAUGCUACAUUUUGUUCUUGGCCAAUUGCCCUCUGAGGAGUCUUAAGUUUUGAUUCCAUCCAUGAUCAGAAGGCAGGAGCCUCAGCCUUUACUACUAAUAUUAUUCUCUUUGAAGGUCUUUAAAGUAUAAUGGAAAAAACAAGAGCACUGGAGCUGGAU